GUUUGCUAAGCAUCAGCUUUCAUCUCUCUGUCGACUCGAUCAUCUAUCCCAAGGUCCAACAUGAACAUCGCUGAUAUCACCGAAGACCUGACAGUGGUCUUGUCCUCAGUAAGCAGUCUCUCAGUCUUCAAUGAUAUUCUGUCGGUCGGUGCCCUGGCACUGGGCUUCAUCGUAGUGGUGCUCUUGAGCGUGGCCCUAGUACAGUCCCUGGAUGGAAUUCUCUCCAAAGGCCUCACUAACACUCCGCUCAGCGGGUUGCAACCCAUACUGGACGAGCUCGGCGACAAAGUCACCCAGUCGCUGGAGAAAUUCAGCUUUCCCGACGUGUCCAAGAAGCGAGUGUCCUAAAUCUGACAGAAAAUUAUUGCUGUUAUCUCAGAGUCCUUAAUAUUUGUUUUUCUUCUUCUACUACUUCUUCUUCUUCGUCUUCUUCUUUUUCUUUUUCUUCGUCUUCUUCCUUUUCUUCUUAUUUCUUGGCAGCUGAAGAGUCAACGAAAAAAAGGACAAGGUUUAAAUUUAGAUAAGAUUCUAUUUUUAAUAGAAGCAGACGCCCAUUUCUGGCACCGUCUUUGCUGUUUACGUUUCGUGGUUGUUGUCUCUGUUGUUAUUAGCUUGCAAAUUUCCCUUUUA
Macrobrachium nipponense is the source of this 630-nucleotide long non-coding RNA. RefSeq lists it as uncharacterized. The record is from RefSeq and is a predicted model, not a curated record. The transcript has 3 exons. NCBI's taxonomy places the organism in Eukaryota, Metazoa, Arthropoda, Malacostraca, Decapoda, Palaemonidae.